RNAcentral lists this ribosomal RNA (392 nucleotides) under uncultured Gammaproteobacteria bacterium. RNAcentral describes it as "bacterial SSU rRNA". It matches the Rfam family "Bacterial small subunit ribosomal RNA", at positions 370 to 779 of the family's 1533-position model. The record is from RNAcentral. Lineage: Bacteria; Pseudomonadati; Pseudomonadota; Gammaproteobacteria.
AAUGGGCGCAAGCCUGAUCCAGCCAUGCCGCGUGAGUGAUGAAGGCCCUAGGGUCGUAAAGCUCUUUCGCCUGUGAAGAUAAUGACGGUAGCAGGUAAAGAAACCCCGGCUAACUCCGUGCCAGCAGCCGCGGUAAUACGGAGGGGGUUAGCGUUGUUCGGAAUAACUGGGCGUAAAGCGCGCGUAGGCGGAUUAGUCAGUCAGAGGUGAAAUCCCAGGGCUCAACCCUGGAACUGCCUUUGAUACUGCUAGUCUUGAGUUCGAGAGAGGUAAGUGGAAUUCCGAGCGUAGAGGUGAAAUUCGUAGAUAUUCGGAGGAACACCAGUGGCGAAGGCGGCUUACUGGCUCGAUACUGACGCUGAGGUGCGAAAGUGUGGGGAGCAAACAGGAUU